Molecule: non-coding RNA, 112 nt
Organism: Acanthosepion pharaonis
Lineage: Eukaryota; Metazoa; Mollusca; Cephalopoda; Sepiida; Sepiidae
Source: the annotation of a GenBank genome assembly
ACGGCCAUAUCACGUUGAAACACCGGUUCUCGUAUGAUCACCGAAGUUAAGCAACGUCGAGCCUGGUCAGUAUCUAGAUAGGUGACCGCUUGAGAGUACUAGGUGCUGUAAG